This 2277-nucleotide long non-coding RNA is filed under the name Eucalyptus grandis. Its description in RNAcentral is "long non-coding RNA (EGRA_LNC004822)". The record is from RNAcentral. Lineage: Eukaryota; Viridiplantae; Streptophyta; Magnoliopsida; Myrtales; Myrtaceae.
AACAAAAAAGAAAGGGCUCCAAUUUGGUAAAAAUGGAAAAGGCCUGAUCUAAGUUACCCAAGCCCGGCCAAUCAAUUUGCGCGGCCCGGAAAUUCAAUCCAAUUCACCACAUGCACAAGCCCACAAGAUCAUUUAAAAAGCCCACAUAGCCCGUAAAAAGAAAAAGCCCAUGACACUUGAAAAGGUAGAACACCGCCCCCCCUUCUCUCUUUCUGGAGAGAUUUAACCAUUAUCCUCUUCUGGUACCCUCUCCUUCGCUGGCCACCAAUCGACGCCAACAUCCGCCGUUCACCAUAUCCAACCGCAAUCCCUCUGGUCGCUGGCCGACAGAGAACCGAGAAUACCAGAGCAAAGAGCAGGACAUGAAAAAUUUCAUCAUCCCUGAUCAAGAGGAUUCCUUACCUUCGGGACCACAAAUCGACGCUAGCGUUCCCCGCUCAUCACCUCCAAUCGUCGAAUACUUCCAUAUUUUCCAGUUGCUGGCCACCAUAGACGAAGUUCAGUGAGAUCUCUCUCUCUCUCUUUCUCUCUCUCUCUCUCUCUCUCUCUAUUUAAGGAUUUCCUUAGCCUAAUUUAUCUUCUCCAAAGUUGUCAGGCCACUGACAAUCAUCGCCAUUGCGUUCGACGUUUCCUAGCUGAAAUCGAACCAGCUCUGUUUGCCCCUGUUUCUAGCCAAGGAGCCCGAAGCGUUCAGCUCUUUCUCAAGACUCUUCCACAUGUUCCUAAGAUCCAUUUAUAACAGAAGGAGCAUGACAAAAUCUUCCCAUGUAAAAGGGUGCUUAAAAUAAUUAAAAGAAACUUACAGUUUAAUAAACAUGUUUUUGGGAAAGCCCCACGUCUAUGUGGAGUGCGUCCUUAGAUAAUUUGGGAGGUGGACCGGUUAAGAUGUGCAAAGAAUGACCCGUAUAUCACUUAAUCGCCAAACCAAAAUACCAAGAUGAGCUUUUAUUUUUUCUUUUUUUUUAACAAACGCAUCCGUUUCGAGAAUAAAAAAUAUAUCCCAUGCCUUCAUAGUCUUCAAAUAGAUAAGUGGAAUGCAUCUUUCUUCGAUAAAUCUAGCAUAAAUAUAGGCUUUCCUAUCGUAGGAAGGCGCAAUCAUAUUAUAACGAUCGUAAGUUGCAGAAAUUAUUUAAAUUCCACAAGAGUAUAAAACGGGCACAUUGUCAUCGAACUUGUUUUUUCUAUGAAGAGCUAGAGUCUAGACUAUAGAGAUGGUCCAUCGUGGUUGGAUGAACAUAAAUUGACUAAGUGUUUGAACUUACCAAAGAAUCAAUUCAUGUAGACUUCUUCAUGAACUAAUCAAUCCUUCUGCUUUUCAGUAACUCAUCUACGGAUUCCCGCUUCCCUGAUGACGUGCGUAUCCACGUGAAGUUAUUGAAGGGAAAUUUUUCUUCCUCUUCGCAAUCAUCUUGGUUGAGGAAAGCAGCCUUUUUUUUUCAAAUGAAUUUGAGCCUAGUUCGCAUUGAGAGGCCAUCUCUGCCAAUUUUUUAACACUGUCCAACUUGUGGGAAGAACCUUGUCCACUCUCAACUACAAAACACUACCGCGAUUGCAGUUAUUUACAUUUUAAUCUCAAAGAAUGCUUCUUGUUGAGAAUUACGCCCAUUAACUUGCUUCUUACGAAUUUGGGAAACUGUUACUCAAAAGUGUAGACAGUUUUAGAGAGAGAAGUUUGAUUAUUGGAACUUGAUGGAAACUCUUUUGAUCAAAUUAUCUACAAGAUUUGUUUUCUGACACUGAUGUACAUAUUUGAUUGACUGAAUUACGCAUGAUGCUCUGCACGCUGGGAUGACCUGAAGCUUUGGGCAAGACCAGACAAAUAGCUUGAUCGGGAUAAAGAGAAACCAUGAACAAGAAUAGAAGAGCUCAUCACACUCAUGAGGAAAUAUUUCCUAGUAACCUCCUUGAUCCGAGCACAUUUUGAAUUCAUUUCAUAAUUAAAUUAUAUAAAAUCGAACAGAAACAGAUAUAAAUAUAACUAAUGGUAGGAUCAGAUGAAAGCUUAAAUACCUUUUCUUUGGAUGUCCGCUGCUCCUGCUUGUUGGCUAGGUGUUACUAUUCUCCAUGACUUCCAUAUUGACAGGCAAUUACAAGGUUGAUGUUCAGAGUUCCACUGGGCCCAUGAAACAUCUGAAGUGGAAAGCAUUCUAUGAUUUGAAGCUUCAUCAACAUAAGUCUUUUGAUGUUGAACAGAUCAAGCGACAUAUUAUCUUUGUGAUGUUUAUUGUUCCUUUUGCAGUUAAUAUGAAUUCAUUCUUUGAUUUAACUUUGAGCAUG